GUUGAACGCUGGCGGCAUGCCUUACACAUGCAAGUCGAACGGCAGCACGGGGCAACCUGGUGGCGAGUGGCGAACGGGUGAGUAAUGCAUCGGAACGUACCUUUCAGUGGGGGAUAACGUAGCGAAAGUUACGCUAAUACCGCAUAUUCUGUGAGCAGGAAAGCAGGGGAUCGCAAGACCUUGCGCUGAUUGAGCGGCCGAUGUCAGAUUAGCUAGUUGGUGAGGUAAAGGCUCACCAAGGCGACGAUCUGUAGCGGGUCUGAGGGGAUGAUCCGCGACACUGGAACUGAGACACGGUCCAGACUCCUACGGGAGGCAGCAGUGGGGAAUUUUGGACAAUGGGGGCAACCCUGAUCCAGCCAUGCCGCGUGAGUGAAGAAGGCCUUCGGGUUGUAAAGCUCUUUCGGCCGGGAAGAAAUCGCACGGGCUAAUACCCUGUGUGGAUGACGGUACCGGAAUAAGAAGCACCGGCUAACUACGUGCCAGCAGCCGCCGUAA
This 498-nucleotide ribosomal RNA is filed under the name uncultured bacterium. RNAcentral describes it as "partial 16S ribosomal RNA". It matches the Rfam family "Bacterial small subunit ribosomal RNA", at positions 28 to 523 of the family's 1533-position model. The record is from RNAcentral.